Sinocyclocheilus rhinocerous is the source of this 629-nucleotide long non-coding RNA. RefSeq lists it as uncharacterized. Lineage: Eukaryota; Metazoa; Chordata; Actinopteri; Cypriniformes; Cyprinidae. The record is from RefSeq and is a predicted model, not a curated record. The transcript is spliced from 3 exons.
AGCACCGCGCACACAGAAGACCCGAUUGUUAACGAACCUCUCGAACGCUGUAAUGAACGUCCUCUCGCAUCUAUAGAGCUAAACUGAAGCUUUCAAACGGGUCGAACAGGAUCAUUACGGCAUUAUGAACUUUUAACGCCGGACACCUAGAAUCUGUCAGGAGAUUAAGGUACAGGCCAGCAGCUGCCAGCUUGGCGGGAGGAGCAUUUCCUGGCCUGAAUGCGAACCGACUGCAGCUGGAGCAUGUCCACUGCAGGCUUGACUGCUCAGGAGAUCUGUUUACCCGCGCAAAGCCUAUUCCUGCGGGGCAGCCAUUGGCAUAGCAUGGCCGGAGCUAAGCCCUCUUGGAAAUACCAUGAUCUACACAACUUAUACUUCACCAUUGAUUCUUCUAUGGAUUAUAACCUUCAGUCCCGGCAACAGGUGCUGCCAUCAUUCUCAAGAGCGGACAGUAAGUAACAUAGCAACAUAAAUCUCCUCAUUAUGAAACGUUCACUCCAAUUUACUCACCCUCAUUUCAUUCCAAACCUGGUGUAAUUUUUUUUUUUUUCAACGGGAGGAUUUUAAAGCAUCUUUCUUUACAUUUGGUGACAAUUCAGAGUGACCAUGGACAAAAGCACCAAACAGCA